GACGAACGCUGGCGGCGUGCUUAACACAUGCAAGUCGAACGGAAAGGCCCUGCUUUUGUGGGGUGCUCGAGUGGCGAACGGGUGAGUAACACGUGAGUAACCUGCCCUUGACUUUGGGAUAACUUCAGGAAACUGGGGCUAAUACCGGAUAGGAGCUCCUGCUGCAUGGUGGGGGUUGGAAAGUUUCGGCGGUUGGAGAUGGACUCGCGGCUUAUCAGCUUGUUGGUGGGGUAGUGGCUUACCAAGGCUUUGACGGGUAGCCGGCCUGGGAGGGUGACCGGCCACAUUGGGACUGAGAUACGGCCCAGACUCCUACGGGAGGCAGCAGUGGGGAAUAUUGCACAAUGGGCGGAAGCCUGAUGCAGCAACGCCGCGUGCGGGAUGACGGCCUUCGGGUUGUAAACCGCUUUCGCCUGUGACGAAGCGUGAGUGACGGUAAUGGGUAAAGAAGCACCGGCUAACUACGUG
Molecule: ribosomal RNA, 468 nt
Filed under: uncultured bacterium
Lineage: Bacteria
Description: partial 16S ribosomal RNA
Rfam family: Bacterial small subunit ribosomal RNA
Source: RNAcentral